RNAcentral lists this ribosomal RNA (253 nucleotides) under uncultured bacterium. Its description in RNAcentral is "partial 16S ribosomal RNA". It matches the Rfam family "Bacterial small subunit ribosomal RNA", at positions 524 to 776 of the family's 1533-position model. The record is from RNAcentral.
UACAGAGGUCCCAAGCGUUGCUCGGAUUCACUGGGCGUAAAGGGUGCGUAGGUGGUCGGGUAAGUCUGAUGUGAAAUCUCGGAGCUCAACUCCGAAACGGCAUUGGAUACUACUCGGCUGGAGGGUUGGAGGGGGGACUGGAAUUCUCGGUGUAGCAGUGAAAUGCGUAGAUAUCGAGAGGAACACCAGUGGCGAAGGCGAGUCCCUGGACAACUCCUGACACUAAGGCACGAAAGCUAGGGGAGCAAACAGG